Molecule: ribosomal RNA, 549 nt
Filed under: uncultured eukaryote
Lineage: Eukaryota
Description: SSU rRNA
Rfam family: Eukaryotic small subunit ribosomal RNA
Source: RNAcentral
UAGUCAUAUGCUUGUCUCAAAGAUUAAGCCAUGCAUGUCUAAGUAUAAGCAAUUAUACCGCGAAACUGCGAAUGGCUCAUUAAAUCAGUUAUCGUUUAUUUGAUAGUACCUUACUACUUGGAUAACCGUGGUAAUUCUAGAGCUAAUACAUGCUAAAAACCCCGACUCACGAAGGGGUGUAUUUACUAGAUUAAAAACCAAUGCCCUCCGGGGCUUUCUGGUGAUUCAUAAUAACUUCUCGAAUCGCAUGGCCUUGCGCCGGCGAUGGUUCAUUCAAAUUUCUGCCCUAUCAGCUUUCGAUGUUUGGGUCUUGGCCUGCCAUGGUUACAACGGGUAACGGAGGGUUAGGGCUCGACCCCGGAGAAGGAGCCUGAGAAACGGCUACUACAUCCGAGGAAGGCAGCAGGCUCGCAAAUUACCCAAUCCCGAUUCGGGGAGGUAGUGACAAUAAAUACUGAUACAGGGCUCUUUUGGGUCUUGUAAUUGGAAUGAGUGCAAUUUAAAUCCCUUAACGAGGAACAAUUGGGGGCAAGUCUGGUGCCAGCAGCC